This 497-nucleotide ribosomal RNA is filed under the name uncultured bacterium. Its description in RNAcentral is "partial 16S ribosomal RNA". It matches the Rfam family "Bacterial small subunit ribosomal RNA", at positions 28 to 507 of the family's 1533-position model. The record is from RNAcentral.
GACGAACGCUGGCGGCGUGCCUAAUACAUGCAAGUAGAACGCUGAAGAGAGGAGCUUGCUCUUCUUGGAUGAGUUGCGAACGGGUGAGUAACGCGUAGGUAACCUGCCUUGUAGCGGGGGAUAACGAUUGGAAACGAUAGCUAAUACCGCAUAACAAUAGGUGACACAUGUCAUUUAUUUGAAAGGGGCAAUUGCUCCACUACAAGAUGGACCUGCGUUGUAUUAGUUAGUAGGUGAGGUAACGGCUCACCUAGGCGACGAUACAUAGCCGACCUGAGAGGGUGAUCGGCCACACUGGGACUGAGACACGGCCCAGACUCCUACGGGAGGCAGCAGUAGGGAAUCUUCGGCAAUGGGGGCAACCCUGACCGAGCAACGCCGCGUGAGUGAAGAAGGUUUUCGGAUCGUAAAGCUCUGUUGUAAGUCAAGAACGAGUGUGAGAGUGGAAAGUUCACACUGUGACGGUAGCUUACCAGAAAGGGACGGCUAACUACGUG